This 504-nucleotide ribosomal RNA is filed under the name uncultured bacterium. RNAcentral's name for it is "partial 16S ribosomal RNA". It matches the Rfam family "Bacterial small subunit ribosomal RNA", at positions 28 to 507 of the family's 1533-position model. The record is from RNAcentral.
GACGAACGCUGGCGGCGUGCUUAACACAUGCAAGUCGAACGGUGAAGCGCUUGCCUUUUUGGUGGGUGUGGAUGAGUGGCGAACGGGUGAGUAACACGUGAGUAACCUGCCCUCUUCUUCUGGAUAACCUCAUGAAAGUGGGGCUAAUACGGGGUAUUCCGGGUCUGUCGCAUGGCGGGUUUGGGAAAGAUUGCGCCUUUGGGUGUUUUCGGUGGGGGAUGGGCUCGCGGCCUAUCAGCUUGUUGGUGGGGUGAUGGCCUACCAAGGCGGUGACGGGUAGCCGGCCUGAGAGGGUGGACGGCCACACUGGGACUGAGACACGGCCCAGACGCCUGCGGGAGGCAGCAGUGGGGAAUAUUGCACAAUGGGCGCAAGCCUGAUGCAGCGACGCCGCGUGAGGGAUGGAGGCCUUCGGGUUGUGAACCUCUUUCGCCAGUGAAGCAGGCCUGCUCCUGUGUGGGUGGGUUGACGGUAGCUGGAUAAGAAGCGCCGGCUAACUACGUG